UUACCGGUCGGCGACGCUACUGCUUUGGGUACUUUCAGGACCCGUCUUGAAACACGGACCAAGGAGUCUAACAUGUGCGCGAGUCAUUGGGUUAUCGUUAAAAAAUUUUAUAAACCUAAAGGCGCAAUUAAAGUGAAGCUCGGCCUUUGUGUCGAUCUAGGGAGGAUGAUCCGGGCUCGCCCGGCUCCGCACUCCCGGGGCGUCUCAUGGUCAUUUUGAGCAGAGGCGCACCCAGAGCGUACACGUUGGGACCCGAAAGAUGGUGAACUAUGCCUGGUCAGGACGAAGUCAGGGGAAACCCUGAUGGAGGUCCGUAGCGAUUCUGACGUGCAAAUCGAUCGUCGGAACUGGGUAUAGGGGCGAAAGACUAAUCGAACCAUCUAGUAGCUGGUUCCCUCCGAAGUUUCCCUCAGGAUAGCUGGCACUCGCUUGAUAGCGAGUCUCAUCUGGUAAAGCGAAUGAUUAGAGGCCUUGGGGCCGAAACGACCUCAACCUAUUCUCAAACUUUAAAUGGGUGAGAUCUCUGGCUUGCUUGAACGCUGAAGCCACGAGAUCGUCGUCCCUCUCGGUGCUCGUCACUGAGUGGGGAUGGUGGCGCAUUACGGAUCAGAGUGCCAAGUGGGCCAAUUUUGGUAAGCAGAACUGGCGCUGUGGGA
Molecule: ribosomal RNA, 656 nt
Filed under: Kradibia subulatae
Lineage: Eukaryota; Metazoa; Arthropoda; Insecta; Hymenoptera; Agaonidae
Description: eukaryotic LSU rRNA
Rfam family: Eukaryotic large subunit ribosomal RNA
Source: RNAcentral